Molecule: ribosomal RNA, 433 nt
Filed under: uncultured bacterium
Lineage: Bacteria
Description: partial 16S ribosomal RNA
Rfam family: Bacterial small subunit ribosomal RNA
Source: RNAcentral
AACGAACGCUGGCGGCAUGCCUAACACAUGCAAGUCGAACGAGACCUCCGGGUCUAGUGGCGCACGGGUGCGUAACGCGGGGGAACCUGCACUUAGGUUCGGAAUAACUCCCCGAAGGGGGUGCUAAUACCGGUUAAGCUCUUCGGACCAAAGAUUUAUCGCCUUUGGAUGGGCCCGCGUUGGAUUAGCUAGUUGGUAGGGUAAAAGCCUACCAAGGCGACGAUCCAUAGCUGGUCGGAUAGGAAGAUCCGCCACACUUGGACUGAGACACGGCCCAGACUCCUACGGGAGGCAGCAGUGGGGAAUAUUGGACAAUGGGCGAAAGCCUGAUCCAGCCAUGCCGCGUGAGUGAUGAAGGCCUUAGGGUUGUAAAGCUCUUUUACCCGGGAUGAUAAUGACAGUACCGGGAGAAUAAGCUCCGGCUAACUCCGUG